UCUUGGCUGACAGUGGUGCCUGCUAAUUUCCACUGCAAGGAUUUCGUCCACGAAUGUUAUCAUAGGUUACGCGCGACUCCAGAGGCAAUUUGGAAUCUCGACACGAAAUCGUCUGAUGAAAAUCUGAGGUGCCCGACGCACAACAUUUUGAACGUGCCACGGAGGAUCAAGGCAAAAAACGAGAGCAAAAAAGGUGCACGCUGAAGGCGGAAAUGAAGCAUGAUCUGGCUUGCAUCUGGUGCAUGAAGAAAUUGCUGACACGUUAGUUGCAGUCUACCUCCACCAACAGGGUGGAAAACAAAGGUCGCCAUUCCGAUUAGCUGCUAUCUCCCA
Ornithodoros turicata is the source of this 333-nucleotide long non-coding RNA. RefSeq lists it as uncharacterized. The record is from RefSeq and is a predicted model, not a curated record. Lineage: Eukaryota; Metazoa; Arthropoda; Arachnida; Ixodida; Argasidae. The transcript is spliced from 3 exons.